AUGACAAGUAUUUUCGGACGGAGGGAGUAUGUAUGUUCCACCAAGUCCAACAUUUGCAGGCAACAACAAAUAACACAAUACUCCAGAGUAUAUCUUAAUGCAGCUGGUGUAGGGGUUAUUGAUAGGAUUAUCAGCUACUCCAGUGUUGUCAUGUUUCUUGCUUCUUACAUAUUUCUCCUUUUGAUUGUUUUUAUGUUUGAUCAAAAAGUUUCAUACCGAAUAUUAAGAAAUUUGUUUACAUCUACGGUUGUGAUUGCAUCUGCUUGCAGAACGGUCAAUUUUACAUUAUCUAUAGAAGGCUGUGUACAUGAGAGGCGUGGCAUGCUAUUGGAAAUUAUAGCAUACUGUAUAUGGCUUCUAAGCAAUUUGAAAGUUUAG
Molecule: ribosomal RNA, 378 nt
Filed under: Triticum aestivum (bread wheat)
Lineage: Eukaryota; Viridiplantae; Streptophyta; Magnoliopsida; Poales; Poaceae
Description: partial small subunit ribosomal RNA
Source: RNAcentral